RNAcentral lists this transfer RNA (66 nucleotides) under Cricetulus griseus (Chinese hamster). It matches the Rfam family "tRNA". Rfam says of the family: Transfer RNA (tRNA) molecules are approximately 80 nucleotides in length. Their secondary structure includes four short double-helical elements and three loops (D, anti-codon, and T loops). Lineage: Eukaryota; Metazoa; Chordata; Mammalia; Rodentia; Cricetidae. The record is from Rfam by way of RNAcentral.
GCCGGGCUAGCUCAGUCGGUAGAGCAUGAAACUCUUAAUCUCAGGGUCAUGGGUCCAUGCCCCACA